This 373-nucleotide ribosomal RNA is filed under the name uncultured bacterium. Its description in RNAcentral is "bacterial SSU rRNA". It matches the Rfam family "Bacterial small subunit ribosomal RNA", at positions 525 to 896 of the family's 1533-position model. The record is from RNAcentral.
ACGUAGGUGACAAGCGUUGUCCGGAUUUACUGGGCGUAAAGAGCGCGCAGGCGGUCGAUCAAGUCGAGUGUGAAAGCCCCCGGCUCAACUGGGGAGGGUCAUUCGAAACUGGUCGACUCGAAGGCAGGAGAGGGUAGUGGAAUUCCCGGUGUAGUGGUGAAAUGCGUAGAUAUCAGGAGGAACACCAGUGGCGAAGGCGACUACCUGGCCUGUUCUUGACGCUGAGGCGCGAAAGCUAGGGGAGCAAACGGGAUUAGAUACCCCGGUAGUCCUAGCCGUAAACGAUGGACACUAGGUGUUGGUGGUAUCAACCCCGCCAGUGCCGAAGCUAACGCGUUAAGUGUCCCGCCUGGGGAGUACGGCCGCAAGGCUA